This is a long non-coding RNA of Pantherophis guttatus, 270 nucleotides long. RefSeq lists it as uncharacterized. NCBI's taxonomy places the organism in Eukaryota, Metazoa, Chordata, Lepidosauria, Squamata, Colubridae. The record is from RefSeq and is a predicted model, not a curated record.
AGGGGUGAGACCUCCUUCAGACGCCAGCGAGAGGGCGGCUUCCGAUUGGAGGGAGAGGGAAAGCCACAAGGAAGCUUUUUUCCCCUGUAAGGAUGAGGAGAAAAGAAGAAAAAUGUGAAGAAUGCAAGAGAGUUACAAAGAGGAGAUGAUGCCUGCACUCCAUGUAAAAUUUGGUACAUGAAAUUAGAUAAUUGAAAGAAGGAAACCCCCUGCACGAGAGUCAAUAUGUGGUUUAAAUAAAUUGUUGCUUUGGGAGAAUAAUUUCAUUAA